RNAcentral lists this transfer RNA (65 nucleotides) under Dipodomys ordii (Ord's kangaroo rat). It matches the Rfam family "tRNA". Rfam says of the family: Transfer RNA (tRNA) molecules are approximately 80 nucleotides in length. Their secondary structure includes four short double-helical elements and three loops (D, anti-codon, and T loops). The record is from Rfam by way of RNAcentral. Lineage: Eukaryota; Metazoa; Chordata; Mammalia; Rodentia; Heteromyidae.
GGUGGCUCAGUGGCAGAGUAUUUGCCUUGCAUGCAUGAAGCCCUGGGUUCGAUUCCUCAGCACCA